This 473-nucleotide ribosomal RNA is filed under the name uncultured Pelotomaculum sp. RNAcentral's name for it is "bacterial SSU rRNA". It matches the Rfam family "Bacterial small subunit ribosomal RNA", at positions 916 to 1381 of the family's 1533-position model. Lineage: Bacteria; Bacillati; Bacillota; Clostridia; Eubacteriales; Desulfotomaculaceae. The record is from RNAcentral.
UUCGGACGGGGCCCGCACAAGCGGUGGAGCAUGUGGUUAAUUCGAUGCAACGCGAAGACCUUACCAGGGCUUGACAUCCCCUGACCGCGUAUGAAAGUACGUUUUCACCCUCGGGUGACAGGGAGACAGGUGGUGCAUGGUUGUCGUCAGCUCGUGUCGUGAGAUGUUGGGUUAAGUCCCGCAACGAGCGCAACCCCUACGUUUAGUUGCUAACGCGUGAAGGCGAGCACUCUAGACGAACUGCCGUUGACAAAACGGAGGAAGGUGGGAUGACGUCAAAUCAUCAUGCCCCUUAUGUUCUGGGCUACACACGUGCUACAAUGGCCGGUACAGACGGAGGCGAAGCCGCGAGGCGGAGCAAAUCCGAAAAAGCCGGUCUCAGUUCGGAUUGCAGGCUGCAAUUCGCCUGCAUGAAGUCGGAAUCGCUAGUAAUCGCAGGUCAGCAUACUGCGGUGAAUACGUUCCCGGGCCUU